GUGAGGAAUAUUGGUCAAUGGACGGGAGCCUGAACCAGCCAAGUCGCGUGAAGGAAGAAGGAUCUAUGGUUCGUAAACUUCUUUUGCAGGGGAAUAAAGUGCAGGACGUGUCCUGUUUUGUAUGUACCCUGAGAAUAAGGACCGGCUAAUUCCGUGCCAGCAGCCGCGGUAAUACGGAAGGUCCUGGUGUUAUCCGGAUUUAUUGGGUUUAAAGGGUGCGUAGGCGGCUUAAUAGGUCUGGGGUUAAAGGCGGCAGCUUAACUGUACGCAUGCCCUGGAAACUGUUGAGCUUGAGUGACCUGGAGGUAGCUGGAAUUCCCUGUGUAGCGGUGAAAUGCUUAGAUAUCACGAAGAACUCCGAUUGCGAAGGCAGCUCACAGUGAUGUAACUGACGCUGAUGCUCGAAAGUGUGGGUAUCAAACAGGAUUAGAAACCCCAGUAGUCC
This 445-nucleotide ribosomal RNA is filed under the name uncultured bacterium. RNAcentral's name for it is "partial 16S ribosomal RNA". It matches the Rfam family "Bacterial small subunit ribosomal RNA", at positions 354 to 796 of the family's 1533-position model. The record is from RNAcentral.